GGGGUCAUCCCGACUUACCAACCCGAUGCAAACUGCGAAUACCGGAGAAUGUUAUCACGGGAGGCACACGGCGGGUGCUAACGUCCGUCGUGAAGAGGGAAACAACCCAGACCGCCAGCUAAGGUCCCAAAGUCAUGGUUAAGUGGGAAACGAUGUGGGAAGGCCCAGACAGCCAGGAUGUUGGCUUAGAAGCAGCCAUCAUUUAAAGAAAGCGUAAUAGCUCACUGGUCGAGUCGGCCUGCGCGGAAGAUGUAACGGGGCUAAACCAUGCACCGAAGCUGCGGCAGCGACGCUUAUGCGUUGUUGGGUAGGGGAGCGUUCUGUAAGCCUGUGAAGGUGUGCUGUGAGGUAUGCUGGAGGUAUCAGAAGUGCGAAUGCUGACAUAAGUAACGAUAAAGCGGGUGAAAAGCCCGCUCGCCGGAAGACCAAGGGUUCCUGUCCAACGUUAAUCGGGGCAGGGUGAGUCGACCCCUAAGGCGAGGCCGAAAGGCGUAGUCGAUGGGAAACAGGUUAAUAUUCCUGUACUUGGUGUUACUGCGAAGGGGGGACGGAGAAGGCUAUGUUGGCCGGGCGACGGUUGUCCCGGUUUAAGCGUGUAGGCUGGUUUUCCAGGCAAAUCCGGAAA
RNAcentral lists this ribosomal RNA (625 nucleotides) under Shigella flexneri. Its description in RNAcentral is "partial 23S ribosomal RNA". It matches the Rfam family "Bacterial large subunit ribosomal RNA", at positions 923 to 1548 of the family's 2925-position model. Lineage: Bacteria; Pseudomonadati; Pseudomonadota; Gammaproteobacteria; Enterobacterales; Enterobacteriaceae. The record is from RNAcentral.